Molecule: ribosomal RNA, 1365 nt
Filed under: metagenome
Description: bacterial LSU rRNA
Rfam family: Bacterial large subunit ribosomal RNA
Source: RNAcentral
CCGUUUAGACAAUGCUAGGAUGUGAUGGGGAAGCCCUUCGGGGCGAAGUAGCUGAUUUCACACUGUCAAGAAAAGCUUCUAUCGAGUUUAAAGGCGCCCGUACCGUAAACCGACACAGGUGGGUGAGGAGAGUCCUAAGGCCAGCGAGAGAACUAUUGUUAAGGAACUCGGCAAAAUGACCCCGUAACUUAGGGAGAAGGGGUGCCUGUCUAUGACAGGCCGCAGAGAAUAGGCCCAAGCGACUGUUUACCAAAAACACAGGUUUCUGCUAAGUCGCAAGACGAUGUAUAGGAGCUGACGCCUGCCCGGUGCUGGAAGGUUAAGGGGAUCUGUUAGAGCAAUCGAAGCAGUGAACUUAAGCCCCAGUAAACGGCGGCCGUAACAAUAACGGUCCUAAGGUAGCGAAAUUCCUUGUCGGGUAAGUUCCGACCCGCACGAAAGGCGUAACGAUUUGGGCACUGUCUCAACAAUAGACUCGGUGAAAUUGUAAUCCCGGUGAAGAUGCCGGGUACCUGCGACAGGACGGAAAGACCCCAUGGAGCUUUACUGUAGCUUGACGUUGGGUCUUGGUACUACAUGUACAGGAUAGGUGGGAGACUAUGAAGCAUGGACGCCAGUCUGUGUGGAGUCAUCCUUGGGAUACCACCCUUGUAGUACUGGGAUCCUAACCUUAGGCCUUGAAUCAGGUCUUGGAACACCGUCAGGUGGGCAGUUUGACUGGGGCGGUCGCCUCCUAAAAAGUAACGGAGGCGCUCAAAGGUUUCCUCAGCACGGUCGGAAAUCGUGCGAAGAGUGUAAAGGCAAAAGGAAGCUUGAUUGCAAGACAUACAGGUCGAGCAAGGACGAAAGUCGGACUUAGUGAUCCGGUGGUACCGCAUGGAAGGGCCAUCGCUCAACGGAUAAAAGCUACCCUGGGGAUAACAGGCUUAUCUCCCCCAAGAGUCCACAUCGACGGGGAGGUUUGGCACCUCGAUGUCGGCUCAUCACAUCCUGGGGCUGUAGUAGGUCCCAAGGGUUGGGCUGUUCGCCCAUUAAAGUGGUACGCGAGCUGGGUUCAGAACGUCGUGAGACAGUUCGGUCCCUAUCCGUCGCAGGCGUAGGAAAUUUGAGAAGACCUGUCCUUAGUACGAGAGGACCGGGAUGGACGUACCUCUGGUGUACCAGUUGUUCUGCCAAGGGCAUGGCUGGGUAGCUAUGUACGGAAUGGAUAAGCGCUGAAAGCAUCUAAGCGCGAAGCCAACUUCAAGAUAAGAUUUCCCACCGUAAGGGUAAGACCCCAGGAAGACUACCUGGUUGAUAGGUCGAAGGUGUAAGUGCAGUAAUGUAUUUAGCUUAUCGAUACUAAUAGGUCGAGGACUUGACCAA